This 858-nucleotide ribosomal RNA is filed under the name Mesorhizobium sp. RNAcentral's name for it is "partial 23S ribosomal RNA". It matches the Rfam family "Bacterial large subunit ribosomal RNA", at positions 1103 to 1953 of the family's 2925-position model. The record is from RNAcentral. Lineage: Bacteria; Pseudomonadati; Pseudomonadota; Alphaproteobacteria; Hyphomicrobiales; Phyllobacteriaceae.
GGCUUAGAAGCAGCCACCCUUUAAAGAAAGCGUAAUAGCUCACUAGUCGAGUCGGUCUGCGCGGAAGAUGUAACGGGGCUAAACCAUGCACCGAAGCUGUGGACUUGCACUAUGUGCAAGUGGUAGAGGAGCGUUCUGUAAGCCGUUGAAGGUGACUCGUGAGGGUUGCUGGAGGUAUCAGAAGUGCGAAUGCUGACAUAAGUAACGAUAAGGGGAGUGAAAAACUUCCCCGCCGGAAGACCAAGGGUUCCUAUCCCAUGCUAAUCAGGGUAGGGUAAGUCGGCCCCUAAGGCGAGGCAGAAAUGCGUAGUCGAUGGGAAACGGGUUAAUAUUCCCGUACCGACAAUACUGCGAUGGGGGGACGGAGAAAGCUAGGCAGGCAUGGCGUUGGUAGUCCAUGUGAAAGUGCGUAGGAAGGGGGAUUAGGCAAAUCCGGUUCCCUAUAUUCUGAGACACGAGACGAGCCACUACGGUGGUGAAGCUGUUGACGCUACGCUUCCAGGAAAAGCCUCUAAGCUUCAGGUAUUGUCGACCGUACUCGAAACCGACACAGGUGGUCAGGUAGAGCAUACCAAGGCGCUUGAGAGAACUCUGGUGAAGGAACUAGGCAAAAUAGUACCGUAACUUCGGGAGAAGGUACGCUCUUGUGUGUGAAGGACUUGCUCCGUAAGCAUAUGAGAGUCGCAGUGACCAGCUGGCUGCAACUGUUUAUUAAAAACACAGCACUCUGCAAACUCGUAAGAGGACGUAUAGGGUGUGACACCUGCCCGGUGCCGGAAGGUUAAUUGAUGGGGUUAGCGCAAGCGAAGCUCUUGAUCGAAGCCCCGGUAAACGGCGGCCGUAACUAUAACGGUCCUA